Molecule: long non-coding RNA, 2428 nt
Filed under: Citrus x clementina
Lineage: Eukaryota; Viridiplantae; Streptophyta; Magnoliopsida; Sapindales; Rutaceae
Description: Citrus clementina (C. clementina) long non-coding RNA (CCLE_LNC005358)
Source: RNAcentral
UCAACAAUAUGUAACCAUUAAUAAUAAUUAAUUAUAAGUUUUGAAACAUACAUUUAUUUUAUUAAGCCAACAACUAAACUUUAGUGGUUUAAAAUACAUCAACUAAUUAAUAUAGGAAGGAAUGCUCCUUGAUUCCUUCAUCUUCCCUCACCAAUGCCACUAGAGCCUAAUUUUAAUGUCAUAAUCUCAUAUUUAAUUAUGCAACCUUUUGUUUAGUGUCUUUGGGCUUCUUUAAACUCUAUAAACAUUAAGUAUUUAAGAUUUAAUAUGUUUGGGUUUUUUUAUUAUUUAACUAGCAUCCUCUUUAGAAAUGUUCUUGUUUUUUUAUUUUUUGACUUAUUUGAAUUUUUAGUAUUGUGUGCUUUAUAGAAUACUCUUUUCUUCAUGAGUUGAACAAUGAUAAAGAUAGUUGGAUGAUAAGGGUUAGGUUUUGUAGGAUGUAGGAGUCUGUUAAUACCAAGAAGAAUGGAGAAUUGAUUAGUGUGAACAUAAUUUUUAUUGAUGAAAAGGUUGUGUACACUUAACUAUACACAUUAAUAUAUAUUUUUAAAGUUAACAAAAAAAUAAUUAACUUUCACAAAUAACAUUAGUUUUAUAAGGUUGCGUCAUCUUUAAAAAAAAAUCAAUUCAUAUUUUUUUAUCAGUUUCAUCAAGUGCCAAAUAAAAAAAAAAGAUAAAACUAAAUCCUAAUUUUUAAAGUCGCGCGAAGCCCGGUUCUAUUUCCUAGUUUAACUAUAAUUAUUCUAGCUCCAGGGAAGAAAUUCAACUUGUAUAAUUGUACAGGGCCGAAAAUUUAAUAACAAAAACCUUAUUUAACUAUAAUUAUUCUAGCUUCAGUGAAGAAAUUUAACUUGUAUCAUUGUACAGGGCAAAAAAUUGAACUCCACACUUAAAUAAUCAAAGGAAAAACAACAGAGCAGGAUCAAUAUUCUACAAAAUAACAACCAUCACAUAUCUUUAAUAGAAAAUUUUGUUCUCCCAUCAUUGAGCCAACCACAAUAGAGCAACAUAAACUGAAUUUGUUUAAGUAAUUAUAUCAAAUAAUUAAUAGCCAAUUUUAAAAUCCUUAACUUAACUGGAGGAAAAUAACCCAAACCCUAACUCAACAGCCACUAUAACUAUCAAGAGGCAUAAACAAAAUCAUGAAAGAUAGCCGGCUUGUCUUAGUUGGAGAACGUUGAUGGGUGGCGAUGGUGACAUGAUGCUAGUUAUGUGGCGCAGUGGGGCGAGCACUGAGCAACGAGCAAUUGCAUGGCUGUUAGUGCAAUGGAGACUUGGCAGUGUGGCGGCUAGUGGGGAGCCUGAAGGCUUGGCACGCUGGCUGAUCAACAUCGAUGAUGAGUCAGAUCGGCUUGAUAGUUAGGAGAGAGAAGAGGCUGCUGCUUGAGAAUUGCUGGAGAAUUGAGAGAUGUUUGAGAGUUGAGAGCUUAGGGACGGUGAAAGGGUAAAUAUUAUUUGUAUUUUAAUUUUUUUAAUUGUGCAAUUUGAUCGGAUUUUUGGAUUGGAUUCAAAUCCAAUCCAAAGCCAUGUUUUUUAUUACUAGUGCAUAUACGAGUAGUUUUUGUAUGUUCAGGUAAAAUAACAAUUUAAUUCUUAUUAUGUCAAUAAAGUUAUAACAACAUCUACAUGAAAGUGGAUGCGCGUAAGAAAAUAUAAUUUCAGGUGAAAAUUUUUUUAAAAAAAUAUAUGUAUUUUUUUUAAAAAAAUACAUUCGGUGAAUAAUUGCCCUUUUUAUAUUUCUAUAAAAUAAUCAUCUAAAAUUUUCACAACAUGGUAUGAAUAAUCAAUCUUUAUAUUAGGAAUCAGCAUGUGGAUGGUAAAUAGAUGUAGUGACAACUUUAUUUUCAACUUAUAUUAUUGAAAACUAAUUCAAGUAACGAUAGUUGGAUAUAUGAAAAGUAAAUCCAUGUCUUCGAAACGAAAUUCAAUUAAUCGCGUGUAGCAUAUAGGUUUUACCUUUGUUAUUUCUUUUUUUUAAUGGCUGCUGAUUGAGCAUGAAUUCUCCAAACCAUUGUUUAUUAGCAUAUAUAUCGCUAUAUCAAAUUAUCAUAGAGAAAUGAAUUUUUUAUUUUAGUUUUAGAAAAUAAAUUGAAUGGUUAAAGAAUCUAAAGUUAUUCUAUUCAACAUUUCUUCAUCAAAAGACCUUUAGAUUGAUUGUUAUGCAUAAUAAUGAUCAUGAUUUAAAAUGAUUUUUCUUUGAAAAUCAGAAAGAAACACUUUUAAUAUGGGGCGUUAUUAAGAAUGGGUGAAUUAAGGGGUAUUUAUAACAUUAAGGCAAAGAUUUUUUAAAACAAAAAUACCUUUAAUUAUAUAUGAGAUUUUUUUAGAAAGGGAGUUAUAUGAGAAUUUUACUCAUCUCAUGUUUUAAAGAAAAACUUUAUAAAAGUUAACAAUGUUUGUUUUAUUAUUUUUAAACUCAUGAUUAUAA